This is a long non-coding RNA of Chenopodium quinoa (quinoa), 1138 nucleotides long. RefSeq lists it as uncharacterized. The transcript is spliced from 4 exons. Lineage: Eukaryota; Viridiplantae; Streptophyta; Magnoliopsida; Caryophyllales; Amaranthaceae. The record is from RefSeq and is a predicted model, not a curated record.
UAAAAAAAAAAAUUUGCCCAGGGCUGGAUGGCAUUUUACCUUGGAAGUUUAGUUUGGUAAAUAAUUUUGCCACGCGUCUACUUUAAAGUAUGGUUCUCGAUAAAGCUUCCUUAGGUUAUUUUUCCCCCUAAUUCUCUUCUCAUACGGUCAUAGUGUCAUUAUCAUACCUCAUUAUCUCUCUAAUCCAUCGUAUCUCUUUCUCACAACCUCUUUGCUUCUCCCAAGGAGCUAUAGAUUGGCAGUGGUUGUAAUCAAAUGAUACUCCUGCAAUCCCAUUCAAAGUAUCUUCUCCAACUCCUCACAAAUCGCCUUCAAAACCUUGACAAAGGUGUUGAACUAGACUGCCAAUGGUUUGACUUUGAUGAUGUGCGAUUCAAUGUCCAGACUUCUAUGACGAAUCCACUCAUCUUGUUGUUGUCGGUAUCAUUACCUACAUGAUGUAUGUGUUUUAUACCAUGUUUUACCACGGUUUUAUAAUAUAUAUUUGCAUGGUUUUGGGCUCUAUGGAGUCAUUUCUUGCUAACAAUCUCUUCUCUAGUGUGUUCGAUCUAUUUUAGUGAGUUUCACAGGAAUACGGUGUUUCUUGGAUGAAUCGGACGUAUUUUGGAUGGUUAUAGAAGAGGUUAGUGAGUGAAAAUGAAGAUUUCCCCCAUGCCCUGUUGGGCAUAGCUUGCCCGGGCAGACAGGGCGAAGAAGGACAAUCUAGUUACAAAGUACUGCUGCAGUUUCUACAUGCCCAAUCGGGCAUUGAAGAGCAAGAAUUCAGCAAACUCGCCUUUUGGAGCUGCUUUGCGCGCCCGAGCGUAGCUUGCCCGGUCAGACCGGGCAGAGGAAGAAAAGAAGAACAACGAAGAAGAAACGUCGUCGUACUCUGGCCGCCUGAUCGAGCAUGUAGUAUUAGUUUGGACCGGGCACUGUUUUGCUGAAGUCGUUUUAUUUAAUUUCGAAAUUCUAUCUUUUUAGGGAUAUAACUACCCUUUGUAAUCACAAUUAAAAGACAGAUUAUUAUAUCCUCUAGUAUUAGUUUUACCUAAAAACCCUAGUUACUCUCUCUAGCAUUUAAUUUUUACUCUUAGUUUUGAUUUAUUGUUCAUCAACAAUCCAAGUUCUUUCAAUUGAAGCAAUUGGUAUUCAUUUA